UACAGAGGGGGCAAGCGUUGUUCGGAAUUACUGGGCGUAAAGGGCUCGUAGGCGGCCAACUAAGUCAGACGUGAAAUCCCUCGGCUUAACCGGGGAACUGCGUCUGAUACUGGAAGGCUUGAGUUCGGGAGAGGGAUGUGGAAUUCCAGGUGUAGCGGUGAAAUGCGUAGAUAUCUGGAGGAACACCGGUGGCGAAGGCGGCAUCCUGGACCGAAACUGACACUGAGGCGCGAAAGCCAGGGGAGCAAACGGG
RNAcentral lists this ribosomal RNA (253 nucleotides) under uncultured bacterium. Its description in RNAcentral is "partial 16S ribosomal RNA". It matches the Rfam family "Bacterial small subunit ribosomal RNA", at positions 524 to 776 of the family's 1533-position model. The record is from RNAcentral.